Ricinus communis (castor bean) is the source of this 1044-nucleotide long non-coding RNA. RefSeq lists it as uncharacterized. The transcript has 2 exons. The record is from RefSeq and is a predicted model, not a curated record. NCBI's taxonomy places the organism in Eukaryota, Viridiplantae, Streptophyta, Magnoliopsida, Malpighiales, Euphorbiaceae.
ACACAGAUAGAGAUUUGUUCAAAAACAAAGAAUCUUCUUCUUCCAAGGGAAAAUAAUACAACUCUUUAUAUUUUUUAUUUAUUCCUUUAUUUGACAAAAAAUGGUAGAAUAUAUUCUAGAAGAAAUUAGAGGGCGUGGUAGGUGUCUGUGGAAAGAGAAGGAAGAGACCGAUCUUUUAGUGAUGGUUUGGGGUGGUGAGAGAAUUUAAUGAGAAUUUGAACCUUUGAUUCUUCUUUCUCCGACGAUGAUGAGCCUUGAUUUCAGUCUUAAAUGAACGACCAUCAAGUGGGCUUUCUUUAAUUGACAAUGGCAUCAUCUAAUCCCACCAGAAAUAGAGUGUGGCGAUGAGAGAGAGAGAAUCAACCAUAGUUCGGUUUUUCUCAUUUUUCUGCCACUUCCGGCAAGUUAUGGUUGAUCAGAAUACAUGGAGAACUCUACUCUCUACAAGCUUUCCCUUGGAAAAUCAACGGCUGAAAUUGUGUCAGUGUUUUGUGACUAGUCUGUGACUUGAACUGCAAAUCAAACACCGAAAUCAUAAUCUAGACUUCAACACAAGUCCGUAGACGUUCUCGGAUUGUCAAUCGGACACCGACGACUAAUGAUGGGUUUACUGAUGUUUUGCGCGUCUAGGAUCUGCAUACAAAUAUCAAUUUGGCAAUAUUCUUCUACAAAAAUAUCCAGAAUCGAUAUCGAUCACCAAAUACCAAAUCUUACCGUUUAGCUUCUCCUAUAAGCACAUGAUGCUUCACAGUCAGUUUUGCAAAUAAAUUUAGGUUUAUGAGGUAUGCAUGACUCAAAACAAGGCUUAAAACAAGUUUCAUGAGAUUCAGUAGUAGGAGCAGUAUAUGACUCAAGUUUCCACCCUUCUGCGACCUCAAUGGAUACAACCAGCAUGACAAUAAGGAUUGCACCAAUGGAGACUUUGCUUGCGGUCAUUUUUUUUUUCCUUAUGUUCCUUUGUUCUUUUCAUGUCCUUUUCUUAACUAUAUUUAUAUUGUAAAUGGACAAUGCUUUGUCAUGCAAUAAUUACUAUAUUUAGUAUUU